AAUGCGUCUCUGCUCGGGUAUGUA
Molecule: non-coding RNA, 24 nt
Filed under: Arabidopsis thaliana (thale cress)
Lineage: Eukaryota; Viridiplantae; Streptophyta; Magnoliopsida; Brassicales; Brassicaceae
Source: RNAcentral